CUGCAACUAUAGUAAGGUUGUGGCCACCCCCAACCACCUUGACAUCCACCCUCCAGCUCUUCUGCUGGACCAAAGAGGUGGAGGCAGCAUUCACCCAUCUCCAGUCCUUGCUUAUCUCGGCCCCUAUUUGAGCCCAUCUGGACCCUGACCGCCAAUUCAUUGGAGAUGUUGACACCUUGGACAUCAAAGGACAGAUCCCAGUGAAACCAAGAAUGUAUUUAAGAUCUCAUCCCUCAAAACACACCUG
RNAcentral lists this long non-coding RNA (247 nucleotides) under Takifugu rubripes (torafugu). RNAcentral describes it as "lncRNA (ENSTRUG00000030396.1)". Lineage: Eukaryota; Metazoa; Chordata; Actinopteri; Tetraodontiformes; Tetraodontidae. The record is from RNAcentral.